CGAUAGCCCAACGGAUUAGAGCAUCUGACUACGGAUCAGAAGGUUGCAGGUUCGAAUCCUGUUCGGC
Molecule: transfer RNA, 67 nt
Filed under: Alloscardovia omnicolens
Lineage: Bacteria; Bacillati; Actinomycetota; Actinomycetes; Bifidobacteriales; Bifidobacteriaceae
Rfam family: tRNA
About the family: Transfer RNA (tRNA) molecules are approximately 80 nucleotides in length. Their secondary structure includes four short double-helical elements and three loops (D, anti-codon, and T loops).
Source: RNAcentral